RNAcentral lists this ribosomal RNA (977 nucleotides) under uncultured archaeon. RNAcentral's name for it is "bacterial SSU rRNA". It matches the Rfam family "Archaeal small subunit ribosomal RNA", at positions 353 to 1346 of the family's 1478-position model. The record is from RNAcentral.
CACCUCAUGGCAGCGUGACGGUACUUGAGUGUCUCCUUCUUGGAGAACUUUUCUGUAGCUUAAGGAGCUGUAGGAAUAAGGGGUGGGCAAUACCCGUGGCAGCCGCCGCGGUAAUACGGGAUCCUCAAGUGGUUCUCACGGAUAUUGGGCUUAAAGCGUGUGUAGCUGGCUGAGAAAGUCCUUUGUGAAAUCGAACGGCUUAACCGUCCGGCUUGCGAGGGAUACUACUCAGCUUGGGACCGGGAGAAGUAUCGGGUACUCUUGGGGUAGGGGUGAAAUCCGUCGAUCCUAAGAAGACCACCUGUGGCGAAGGCGCGAUACUAGAACGGGUCUGACAGUGAGACACGAAGGCUCGGGGAGCGACCCGGAUUAGAUACCCGGUUAGUCCGAGCUGUAAACUAUGCCCUCUAGGUGUUUCCUAACCCUCGAGGUUAGGAAGUGCCGAAGCGAAAGCGUUAAGGGGCCGCCUGGGGAGUACGGUCGCAAGACUGAAACUUAAAGGAAUUUGGCGGGGGAGACACUACAAGGGGUGGAGGCUGCGGUUCAAUUGGACACAACACCAGGCACAUCACCAGGGGCGACAGCAGAAUGAAGGUCAGUCUGAAGGGCUUACUAGACACGCUGAGAGGUGGUGCAUGGCCAUCGUCAGCUCGUGUCGUGAGACGUCCUGUUAAGUCAGGCAACGAGCGAGACCCUCAUCUUUAGUUGCAACCGUUCAGAGUUCUGGGCGAGCACUCUAAAGAGACCGCCAAGGCUAACUUGGAGGAAGGAGAGGGCGACGGUAGGUCGGUAUGCCCCGAAUCCCUUGGGCUACACGUGGCCUACAGUGGACAAGACAAUGGGCUGCAACACCGAAAGGGGAAGCCAAUCCCCUAAACUUGUCCUCAGUUCGGAUCGAGGGUUAAACUCACGGUCGUGAAGAUGAAUCCCUAUAAUCCGGCCAUCGCGCGUGACUCCUCAAUGCAUCCUUUAUACGC